AGGUUAACCAUCUAGGGGAGCCGUAGGGAAACCGAGUCUUAACUGGGCGUUCAGUCUCUGGAUAUAGACCCGAAACCAGGUGAUCUAGCCAUGGGCAGGUUGAAGGUUGAGUAACAUCAACUGGAGGACCGAACCGACUAAUGUUGAAAAAUUAGCGGAUGACUUGUGGCUAGGGGUGAAAGGCCAAUCAAACCUGGAGAUAGCUGGUUCUCCCCGAAAGCUAUUUAGGUAGCGCCUCGGACGAAUACUACUGGGGGUAGAGCACUGUUAAGGCUAGGGGGUCAUCCCGACUUACCAACCCUUUGCAAACUCCGAAUACCAGUAAGUACUAUCCGGGAGACACACGGCGGGUGCUAACGUCCGUCGUGGAGAGGGAAACAACCCAGACCGCCAGCUAAGGUCCCAAAUUACUACUAAG
Molecule: ribosomal RNA, 418 nt
Filed under: Vibrio parahaemolyticus
Lineage: Bacteria; Pseudomonadati; Pseudomonadota; Gammaproteobacteria; Vibrionales; Vibrionaceae
Description: partial 23S ribosomal RNA
Rfam family: Bacterial large subunit ribosomal RNA
Source: RNAcentral